UUACGGCCAUAUCACAUUGAAACAUCAAUUCCUGUAUGAUCACUGAAGUUAAGCAAUGUUGAGCCUGGUUAGCACCUAGAUGGAUAACCACUUGGGAAAACUAGGUACUGUAA
Acanthosepion pharaonis is the source of this 113-nucleotide non-coding RNA. Lineage: Eukaryota; Metazoa; Mollusca; Cephalopoda; Sepiida; Sepiidae. The record is from the annotation of a GenBank genome assembly.